ACAGGCUAUGCUAACGAGUGUCUUGGUACUAUUGUCUAAGACCUCAGGGAACCUAGUGAGAUUCUAGGGCUGUACCCGCAACUGUGAGUAUGUUUUAGACGUACCAGCCAGAUACCUGAAGUUAGCCCAAGCAUGGA
Molecule: non-coding RNA, 137 nt
Organism: Oceanobacter sp.
Lineage: Bacteria; Pseudomonadati; Pseudomonadota; Gammaproteobacteria; Oceanospirillales; Oceanospirillaceae
Source: Rfam